RNAcentral lists this long non-coding RNA (213 nucleotides) under Nicotiana benthamiana. RNAcentral's name for it is "long non-coding RNA (NBEN_LNC030091)". The record is from RNAcentral. Lineage: Eukaryota; Viridiplantae; Streptophyta; Magnoliopsida; Solanales; Solanaceae.
GGCUCCCAAGGUCGUUAAAGACCUGUAUCCUCUUCUCAUGGCUUAUACAUGUUCGUUUUUUGGUCUCAAGGCUAGAUCUUGAAAGAACUUGGUCCAGACCUUGUUCAGUUUCAGUUCAUGGCUAUUCUCUAGUCGUUUCUGACCUUUCUCCAGCUAGCCGUGUCCAUUCGAGUACGACUCUUGACUCUCCUGCUUAGAUCGAUGAUUUUCAAA